Long non-coding RNA from Perca fluviatilis (European perch), 1431 nucleotides. RefSeq lists it as uncharacterized. The record is from RefSeq and is a predicted model, not a curated record. Lineage: Eukaryota; Metazoa; Chordata; Actinopteri; Perciformes; Percidae. The transcript is spliced from 2 exons.
GUCUCGUCUGCUGCGCGGUCUGUUCUGUUCUGUUCCGUUUCUGAGGUCCCUGUUGUGAUUCUCUGUCAUGGAUUUCCUUGAUUUAUGGAUUAUUGUUCCAAAGUCUGGACCCCUGUGUGGAUCCCCCUCUCCUGAUUGGCUGAUCAUACUCCCAGCGGCGUGCGUGCCCGGUGUCAGCGGCAUCCUGCUCCUGUCAGCCGGAUUCAUCCAGACAGACAUUUGCGGGGGGGGGGGGGGAAGUUUUAAUGCUACGUCAUCUUCAAGCGCCGUGUAGCUGCUGCGCUCCCCGGUGCGUUCUACACACACGCUGAAGGGGGAUUUUUGCGUCGUAUCUGACGCUGACUGCCACUGACCAAACGUCCGUAUUUUACGAGUUGAGAACAGGUUGUACAGGAACCGGUAUCGAAGUGACGGCAUUGGUAUCGGUAUUGAAUAUUUUUGAACGAUACCCAGCCCUAUCACUGAGUUAUAAAAUAGAGAAAUAAUCUGUCCACAUUCCUCAGCGAGAUAAGUUAUUUCCCAACUAUUUGGUUAGAAAAGUCUGGAAUAAAUCCACGAUUGUAUCUCUAUGCCGUCAUGAAUCGUUGACACAUCCCCUGACCUGUGAUGCUGUGGUUUUACCUUCAGAGACAGGUCGAGCUCUCCGAGAAGCGAAGGUCCGCUGGUGUCACGUAAUCCCGCUCACAGAUGAGAGCGUCCGGCCUAUUUUCAGCCCGUUGCUCGCCGUGAUUGCCUCUGAAAGAUCAAUCAGCGCUCGCUGCACAGCUCUGCUUUCUCCUCGCCGACACGAAUCACAUAAAUAAACUCAAAUUACUGGAUCCACGGGCCGUAUUUUUUUUUUUCUUUCUUUUUUUCCUGGCAUGUCUUCGGCCCCAGCAGGAACACCAGAAAAAAAAAAAAGAUGGUCAGUUUUUCAUAAUCGCUCCAUUUGACUGAGCUCGCACCAUUUUCUACGAUACAAAAGGCUGCGAUUGGGCUCGGCCAAACACCGCCGUCCAUUUCCAAGACAAAUACUCCGGUUUUCUUCAUAUUUCUGGGGUAAUGGAGAGGCGACACAAAGCAUUAGCUGCAGCUCACGCUCCGUACACAAACAUAUUAAAGCUCCAGCCUUUUCUUUUUACCUCUUUCACAUAUCCACUUUAUCCCAAACCACACACACAUUACACAUAUCAGAAAGCCAUUUCAAACAUUUAGCUGCUGUAGACUGCUGUGCUUUGUGCCAUUAAGUUCAGUCAGCACUGAAAGUGGAAAAUAAAGCUUUCAAACCGAGGAAGUCAACACCUGUACACAUACGGUGCAAACACAGCGUCUGCUUGAUCCAAGACCGUCAUGGAAUACAGCUUUUAAACAACUGCACCGCAAGCUCCCUUUUCUGUUCGGAUAAAUAUAUUUGAGUCAUUUCUGUGCUUCAAAUACAGCGUCUUAAAUUCA